CUUAUUCUUUGGGGCAGGAGGCCGAGGUUUAUAGAGCCUGUGGGGAGGGAACCACGGGUACCUGCAGUCCAGAGUGAACACUAGCCCUACAUUCGAUAGUUUUCAGUCUAAAGAAAACACCACAUGCUGGUCCUCCCUGGAAGGUGGCCUCCCAACUACAAACCAACAAAAGGCAUGGGCAGACUUAAAGCUGGAUGGGUUGUGUUGCGCUCCUAAUUCAGGUUUCAAUCACUGUAGUGUAUAACCUUGGCCAGGUGGCUGCUCAUCCACAGCUAUGUUCAUCUCUAAAAGGCAAGUGACACUUGGACAGUUUCUAGGAGCCGUUGAGAAACGGCAGGUACCGUAGGCCUCAGUAAGGAGUGGUCGUCUGUUUUCUGGGACAGGACAGUAAUAAAGGAUAGGGCCCUACAGGACAAACAGGGCCGACUUAGGAAUAUGUGAGUAUACUGUUCUCCAAUUUAUUUUCAUAUUUUUUUGUUAUUUCUAGAAAUGUCACAUUUAAACCUUUUUUAAUAACAUUCAGUAGUUAGUAAAUUCUAUUGUAGAAGUUUACCAUCUAAGUGGCUGAAAAUGUUCAUUACUUAUAAAAUGAUUGACGAAUAUAUAAUAAAGUGGCUUCAUUAGUCACUGCCUGCUACUUCUGUAUUUUUUUCCUAAUUUCUUGUCUUUAAUAUAGAAAACUCAAUAUUGGCUGAAUUAGGUUCAAUAAAGAAUUUUUAUGCUCUCUAA
Molecule: long non-coding RNA, 729 nt
Filed under: Rattus norvegicus (Norway rat)
Lineage: Eukaryota; Metazoa; Chordata; Mammalia; Rodentia; Muridae
Description: long non-coding RNA NONRATT001701
Source: RNAcentral